This 450-nucleotide ribosomal RNA is filed under the name uncultured Glomus. Its description in RNAcentral is "SSU rRNA". It matches the Rfam family "Eukaryotic small subunit ribosomal RNA", at positions 569 to 1026 of the family's 1831-position model. Lineage: Eukaryota; Fungi; Glomeromycota; Glomeromycetes; Glomerales; Glomeraceae. The record is from RNAcentral.
AGCAGCCGCGGUAAUUCCAGCUCCAAUAGCGUAUAUUAAAGUUGUUGCAGUUAAAAAGCUCGUAGUUGAAUUUCGGGAUCAAUAUGUUGGUCGUGCCUUGGUACGUACUAGUUUAUUGGUUUCUUCCUUCUGACGAACCAUGAUGUCAUUAAUUUGGUGUCUUGGGGAAUCAGGACUGUUACUUUGAAAAAUUAGAGUGUUUAAAGCAGGCUCACGCUUGAAUACAUUAGCAUGGAAUAAUGAAAUAGGACGUUUGAUUCUAUUUUGUUGGUUUCUAGGAUCGACGUAAUGAUUAAUAGGGAUAGUUGGGGGCAUUAGUAUUCAAUUGUCAGAGGUGAAAUUCUUGGAUUUAUUGAAGACUAACUACUGCGAAAGCAUUUGCCAAGGAUGUUUUCAUUAAUCAAGAACGAAAGUUAGGGGAUCGAAGACGAUCAGAUACCGUCGUAGUCU